UAAAUUAAGCAUAAUAAAUAUUCUCAAAGGAAUAAAGGAAGGCAAGGAUUAAAUGAAACAGAAAUAAGAAUUCACAAAAAGAACCAAAUGAAAUAUUAACUAUGAUAAAUAUAACAAAGUAAAGAAUGUAAAUAAAUGGAAUAAAUUGUAGAGUGGAUAUUUUUGAUGAAUGAAUUAGUGAGCUGUAAGAUAUGAUUGAGGUGCUCUUCCAGAAGGCAGCAAAAAAAUGAUAACAACAUAAAAAAUAUGAAAGAAGAGGUAAGCAGCAUAGAGAUGAGAACUGGAAACACUAACUUCCAGGUAAUGAGUCCCAGAAAGAUACUCAAAAAAUAAGAAAAAAAAUAUAGACAGAAAUAAAGAAGAAGAUAAAAAUUUCUAUAUUUACAAAACAAGAUGAAAAAGAUAAAACAAGUUUAACUUAUAGGUGAACAGAAUGCCAAAUAGAACAGAUAUUUUAAAAAGCCAAGGGGUUGGCCCCAUGGUGUAGUGGUUAAUCUCGGCACACUCCACCUCCGGGGCCUGGGUUCAUGGGUUCAGAUCCCAGGCACAGACCUACACCACUCAUCAGCCAUGCUGUGGUGGCGACCCACAUGUAAAGUGGAGGGAGACUGGAACAGAUGUUAGCUCAGGGAUAAUCUUCCUCAGCAAAAAAACUCGAAAGACCCAUACUGAUACAUAUUAAAAUAAAUUUCAGAUCAUCAAAAACAAAGAGAAAAUUAGAUUAAUAGAGUUUUUUUUAAAGAUUCCAAAAAGGAGUUGCAGAUAACCUACAAAAGAAAAAAAAUCAUAACAUUAUACUUCUCAAGAGCAAACACUGAAUACAAGAAGGUAGUGGUUCAUUAUUUUCUUAUCAUUUGAAGAAAAAACUUCAACCAAAUUUUGUCCAGCCAAAAUAUCACUUAAAGGUUAGGGUGCAACUGUUAGCUUCUGGCCAUGACAGGGUAACAGGAACCAGAUUUAUCUUUCCAACUCAAACAACUAGAAAACUGGAGAAAAUACAUGAAACACAAGUUUUCAGACACUGGACAAUAAUAAAAUAGAUAUACCUCCAGCAGGACUAACCAGAGAGAGAGAGAGAGAAAUUGUUAAUAUCAGGAAUGAUGAGGAUACAUCACUACAAAUCCUACAGAUAUUAAGAGGAUAAUAAGCAAAUACUGAGAACAAAUCUAUGCCAACAAAUAUGACAUCUUAGAUGAAAUAGUCAAAUAUCUUGAAAGACACAAACAACCAAAGCUCAUUGUCUCUAAAAUAGUCUUUAUAAUGUCUUUGUUUUUGAACAAUAUUUUCAUUGGGUUUAGAAAUCUAAGUGACAAUUUUUUUCUUUCCUUACUGUUACAUGUUGAAUUGUGUCACCCCAAAAAGAUAUGUUGAAGUCCUAACGCUCAGUGCUCAUGAAUGUUACCUUAUUUGAAAAUAGGAUCUUUGCAAAUGCAAUCAAGCCAUUGCAGUGGGUCCUAAUCCAUCAUGACUGAUGUCCUCAUAAGAAGUGAAUAUGCCACCUAAAGACACAGACGCAUGAGGGGAAAAUGCAAUGUGAUGAUGGAGGCAGAAACUGAAGUGCUGCAGCUUCCAGCCAAAGAUUGCCAGCAAAGCACCAGAAGCCAGGCAGAGGCAAGGAAGGAUCCUCCCCUGCAGGUCUCAGAGGAAUCAUGGCCCUGCCAACAGCUUCUCUUCAGACGUUUAGCCUACAGAACCGCAAGCCCAUAGAUUUCUGUUGUUUUAAACUUCCCAGCUUGUGGUAUUUUCUUACAUCAGCCCUAGGAAACUAAUUCAAAUACAUUAAGUUGUUGCUACACUGUUCUCAUUUGCAUUCUUUACAAAGCGAAAUCUGCUAUCAUUCUCAUUUU
This is a long non-coding RNA of Equus caballus (horse), 1847 nucleotides long. Lineage: Eukaryota; Metazoa; Chordata; Mammalia; Perissodactyla; Equidae. The record is from Ensembl.